RNAcentral lists this long non-coding RNA (595 nucleotides) under Drosophila guanche. The record is from RNAcentral. Lineage: Eukaryota; Metazoa; Arthropoda; Insecta; Diptera; Drosophilidae.
GUUUUGGUAUGGUAAAGGUGUAAAUACCGUGGAUUAUGCUACUGGCUCUGGGCAAAUACUCGUUCUUAUCCAUCGUAAUUACAGGAAACCACUUGUCCACUUUCGAAACCCCUAACGUAACCCCUUUUUCUUUUGUAUUUCUCAUCUGGUGAAAAAACUGUGCAAAUAUUUGACGAGCAUUCAACGGCUCCUCGUGCGAUCUGAUAUGGUGGGGAGUGCUGGCCCUCUGUGUGUUUGCCUCUGCUGCCGCUGCCAUUUUCCAGUGUUUAUCAAGUCUAACACGCUGUGGCCUUAUUUGUUUUCUAACACUCGGUGGUCCCCAGAGAGAUAGAGAGAGAGAGGCAAAAAUCGCGGUCUCACUCUCUUGUCUCUUGAAAGAGAUUUGCAAUCGCUGAUGGGUGGGUUCUGGCUGCUGUCUUCCUAUCUCCUGUAAUUUUAAUUUUUGUGGUUUACCUCUGCUUUGGUUUACAGUACAUUUUACACGAAAUAAAGCGUACGUUUUUUUUUCUCAUGUUUAACAGACAUUAAGUUUGUUUUAUGGAAGAGGACCUAUCCUCUCUCGCUGGGUGUUGAACGCAAUAAAAAUAUGUUUAAG